This 253-nucleotide ribosomal RNA is filed under the name uncultured bacterium. RNAcentral describes it as "partial 16S ribosomal RNA". It matches the Rfam family "Bacterial small subunit ribosomal RNA", at positions 524 to 776 of the family's 1533-position model. The record is from RNAcentral.
UACGAACCGUCCAAACGUUACUCGGAAUCACUGGGCUUAAAGGGUGCGUAGGCUGCGCGGAGGGUGGGAUGUGAAAUCCCCCGGCUCAACCGGGGAAUAGCGUCCCAAACCGCCGUGCUCGAGGGAGACAGAGGUGAGCGGAACUGAUGGUGGAGCGGUGAAAUGCGUUGAUAUCAUCAGGAACACCAGUGGCGAAGGCGGCUCACUGGGUCUUUCCUAACGCUGAGGCACGAAAGCUAGGGGAGCGAGCGGG